RNAcentral lists this long non-coding RNA (229 nucleotides) under Elaeis guineensis (African oil palm). Its description in RNAcentral is "long non-coding RNA (EGUI_LNC031437)". The record is from RNAcentral. Lineage: Eukaryota; Viridiplantae; Streptophyta; Magnoliopsida; Arecales; Arecaceae.
CCUUUUGCUAUGAACUUGAUUGGAUCCAAUGCUCUGAUCCUUCUUCUUUGGCUUCUCCUUCAUAGGGCCUUUGUAAGUUUUAGAGUUAUAGCCUUAUUGUUUGCAAUUGCAAUAUCUCAAUGAGGUACCCUUACUUGUGAUUCUACUAGAAUCCUUUGACUCAUCCUCUUUUUUUCCUUAUGCCUUUAUGGGUUUAUUUGCAAGAGCCCUUAUUAUGAAAGAGAGGGAG